Non-coding RNA from Capsicum annuum, 108 nucleotides. Lineage: Eukaryota; Viridiplantae; Streptophyta; Magnoliopsida; Solanales; Solanaceae. The record is from Rfam.
ACCUCAUGGUUUGGACACUUUUCAUAAGCUUCUUCUCAAAUCUCCCCCAUACUUCAUACAAAAGCUCUCCAUUUUGUUGACAAAAAUUUGUGAUUUUGUCAUGCAAUU